UACAGAGGGUGCGAGCGUUGUCCGGAAUCACUGGGCGUAAAGGGCGCGUAGGUGGCUGGGUAAGCGUGUGGUGAAAGCCCGGGGCUCAACCCCGGGUCGGCCAUGCGAACUGCCCGGCUGGAGCACGGUAGAGGCCAAUGGAAUUCCGGGUGUAGCGGUGGAAUGCGUAGAGAUCCGGAAGAACACCGGUGGCGAAGGCGGCCUGCUGGGCAGUUGCUGACACUGAGGCGCGACAGCGUGGGGAGCAAACAGG
RNAcentral lists this ribosomal RNA (253 nucleotides) under uncultured bacterium. RNAcentral describes it as "partial 16S ribosomal RNA". It matches the Rfam family "Bacterial small subunit ribosomal RNA", at positions 524 to 776 of the family's 1533-position model. The record is from RNAcentral.